Molecule: transfer RNA, 74 nt
Filed under: Patescibacteria group bacterium
Lineage: Bacteria
Description: tRNA-Val
Rfam family: tRNA
About the family: Transfer RNA (tRNA) molecules are approximately 80 nucleotides in length. Their secondary structure includes four short double-helical elements and three loops (D, anti-codon, and T loops).
Source: RNAcentral
GGGCGGUUAGCUCAGUUGGUUAGAGCGUACGCUUCACACGCGUAAGGUCACAGGUCCGAUUCCUGUACCGCCCA